Molecule: ribosomal RNA, 301 nt
Filed under: uncultured bacterium
Lineage: Bacteria
Description: partial 16S ribosomal RNA
Rfam family: Bacterial small subunit ribosomal RNA
Source: RNAcentral
CAGUCGCCGCGGUAAUACGAAGGGUGCAAGCGUUAAUCGGAAUUACUGGGCGUAAAGCGUGCGUAGGCGGUUUGUUAAGUCUGUUGUGAAAUCCCCGGGCUCAACCUGGGAAUGGCAAUGGAUACUGGCAAGCUAGAGUGUGUCAGAGGAUGGUGGAAUUCCCGGUGUAGCGGUGAAAUGCGUAGAGAUCGGGAGGAACAUCAGUGGCGAAGGCGGCCAUCUGGGACAACACUGACGCUGAGGCACGAAAGCGUGGAGAGCAAACAGGAUUAGAUACCCCUGUAGUCCCUGUCUCUUAUAC